UACGUAGGGUGCAAGCGUUACUCGGAAUUACUGGGCGUAAAGCGUGCGCAGGCGGUGAUGUAAGACAGAUGUGAAAUCCCCGGGCUCAACCUGGGAACUGCAUUUGUGACUGCAUCGCUGGAGUGCGGCAGAGGGGGAUGGAAUUCCGCGUGUAGCAGUGAAAUGCGUAGAUAUGCGGAGGAACACCGAUGGCGAAGGCAAUCCCCUGGGCCUGCACUGACGCUCAUGCACGAAAGCGUGGGGAGCAAACAGG
RNAcentral lists this ribosomal RNA (253 nucleotides) under uncultured bacterium. Its description in RNAcentral is "partial 16S ribosomal RNA". It matches the Rfam family "Bacterial small subunit ribosomal RNA", at positions 524 to 776 of the family's 1533-position model. The record is from RNAcentral.